Molecule: ribosomal RNA, 381 nt
Filed under: uncultured bacterium
Lineage: Bacteria
Description: bacterial SSU rRNA
Rfam family: Bacterial small subunit ribosomal RNA
Source: RNAcentral
AUUGAACGCUGGCGGCAUGCCUUACACAUGCAAGUCGAACGGCAGCACGGGAGCAAUCCUGGUGGCGAGUGGCGAACGGGUGAGUAAUAUAUCGGAACGUGCCCAGUCGUGGGGAUAACGUAGCGAAAGCUACGCUAAUACCGCAUACGAUCUAUGGAUGAAAGCGGGGGAUCGCAAGACCUCGCGCGAUUGGAGCGGCCGAUAUCAGAUUAGGUAGUUGGUGAGGUAAAGGCUCACCAAGCCGACGAUCUGUAGCUGGUCUGAGAGGACGACCAGCCACACUGGGACUGAGACACGGCCCAGACUCCUACGGGAGGCAGCAGUGGGGAAUUUUGGACAAUGGGCGCAAGCCUGAUCCAGCAAUGCCGCGUGCAGGAAGAA